GACGAACCGUGCGAACGUUGUUCGGAAUCACUGGGCUUAAAGGGCGCGUAGGCGGGUCGUAAAGUCAGUGGUGAAAUCUUUCAGCUCAACUGGAAAAGUGCCGCUGAUACUGACGAUCUCGAGGGAGGUAGGGGUCGAUGGAACUAAUGGUGGAGCGGUGAAAUGCGUAGAUAUCAGGAGGAACACCGGUGGCGAAGGCGGGUCUCUGGGCCGAUACUGACGCUGAGGAGCGAAAGCGUGGGGAGCGAACAGG
This 253-nucleotide ribosomal RNA is filed under the name uncultured bacterium. Its description in RNAcentral is "partial 16S ribosomal RNA". It matches the Rfam family "Bacterial small subunit ribosomal RNA", at positions 524 to 776 of the family's 1533-position model. The record is from RNAcentral.